This 682-nucleotide ribosomal RNA is filed under the name Porphyromonas levii. RNAcentral's name for it is "bacterial SSU rRNA". It matches the Rfam family "Bacterial small subunit ribosomal RNA", at positions 858 to 1533 of the family's 1533-position model. The record is from RNAcentral. Lineage: Bacteria; Pseudomonadati; Bacteroidota; Bacteroidia; Bacteroidales; Porphyromonadaceae.
CAUUAAGUACUCCGCCUGGGAAGUACGAUCGCAAGAUUAAAACUCAAAGGAAUUGACGGGGGCCCGCACAAGUAGCGGAGCAUGUGGUUUAAUUCGAAGCAACGCGAAGAACCUUACCUGGGCUUGACAUCCCAAGAAUCCUGUGGAAACACGGGAGUGCCCUUCGGGGAACUUGGUGACAGGUGGUGCAUGGUUGUCGUCAGCUCGUGUCGUGAGAUGUUGGGUUAAGUCCCGCAACGAGCGCAACCCUUGUUGUUAGUUGCUACCAUUAAGUUGAGCACUCUAGCAAGACUGCCUGGGUAACCAGGAGGAAGGUGGGGAUGACGUCAAAUCAUCAUGCCCCUUAUGUCCAGGGCUACACACGUGCUACAAUGGUUGGUACAAAGAGAAGCAAGACCGUGAGGUGGAGCAAAUCUCAUAAAACCAAUCUCAGUUCGGAUUGUAGGCUGAAACUCGCCUACAUGAAGCUGGAGUUACUAGUAAUCGCGAAUCAGAAUGUCGCGGUGAAUGCGUUCCCGGGCCUUGUACACACCGCCCGUCACACCAUGAGAGUUGGUAACACCCGAAGUCCGUGAGGUAACCGCAAGGAGCCAGCGGCCGAAGGUGGGAUCGAUGAUUGGGGUGAAGUCGUAACAAGGUAGCCGUAGGAGAACCUGCGGCUGGAUCACCUCCUUUCUAAGGA